AUGGUCUUCAUGGCAGUCUCCUUACCCACUCUGUACAGUAAAAUGAUGUCUCAGUACAGCCCAAUCACUGAAGGUCACUGCAACAAUAUCCAUUGCCUGGCCAAAGCUAUCAACCAGAUUGCUGCAGCUUUAUUUACCA
Molecule: long non-coding RNA, 139 nt
Organism: Heteronotia binoei (common prickly gecko)
Lineage: Eukaryota; Metazoa; Chordata; Lepidosauria; Squamata; Gekkonidae
Exons: 2
Source: RefSeq, a predicted model, not a curated record